This 697-nucleotide ribosomal RNA is filed under the name Stenotrophomonas maltophilia. RNAcentral describes it as "bacterial SSU rRNA". It matches the Rfam family "Bacterial small subunit ribosomal RNA", at positions 78 to 772 of the family's 1533-position model. The record is from RNAcentral. Lineage: Bacteria; Pseudomonadati; Pseudomonadota; Gammaproteobacteria; Lysobacterales; Lysobacteraceae.
GCUCUCUGGGUGGCGAGUGGCGGACGGGUGAGGAAUACAUCGGAAUCUACUUUUUCGUGGGGGAUAACGUAGGGAAACUUACGCUAAUACCGCAUACGACCUACGGGUGAAAGCAGGGGACCUUCGGGCCUUGCGUGAUUGAAUGAGCCGAUGUCGGAUUAGCUAGUUGGCGGGGUAAAGGCCCACCAAGGCGACGAUCCGUAGCUGGUCUGAGAGGAUGAUCAGCCACACUGGAACUGAGACACGGUCCAGACUCCUACGGGAGGCAGCAGUGGGGAAUAUUGGACAAUGGGCGCAAGCCUGAUCCAGCCAUACCGCGUGGGUGAAGAAGGCCUUCGGGUUGUAAAGCCCUUUUGUUGGGAAAGAAAUCCAGCCGGCUAAUACCUGGUUGGGAUGACGGUACCCAAAGAAUAAGCACCGGCUAACUUCGUGCCAGCAGCCGCGGUAAUACGAAGGGUGCAAGCGUUACUCGGAAUUACUGGGCGUAAAGCGUGCGUAGGUGGUUGUUUAAGUCUGUUGUGAAAGCCCUGGGCUCAACCUGGGAACUGCAGUGGAAACUGGACAACUAGAGUGUGGUAGAGGGUAGCGGAAUUCCCGGUGUAGCAGUGAAAUGCGUAGAGAUCGGGAGGAACAUCCAUGGCGAAGGCAGCUACCUGGACCAACACUGACACUGAGGCACGAAAGCGUGGGGAGCAAA